Long non-coding RNA from Triticum aestivum (bread wheat), 303 nucleotides. RefSeq lists it as uncharacterized. The record is from RefSeq and is a predicted model, not a curated record. Lineage: Eukaryota; Viridiplantae; Streptophyta; Magnoliopsida; Poales; Poaceae. The transcript is spliced from 2 exons.
AGGAGAAUGGGUGAAGGGGGUCAAUGCGGGUGCUCGUGAGUUCUCUUAUUUUGUUCCCCUUAAAAACAAGUCACUUUGUUAUUACAGUUACCUUUCAUGCUUCUGAGUGAAUGGGCAGUGCCCCUACCAGGUUCCUCAAAAGACAUGGCAGGUAUGAUGACAUACUCACAAGUCUCCAUCACAAAGUGACGAAGAAGCGGCUAAGAGUGGUUAUAAAUUUUUAUACUACUGUUUACUCAAUUUAUACUACUGACCUGGCACUCGAGCAAAUUCUGCAAGUUUUAGAGAAGUUAUAAAUUUUUA